Molecule: transfer RNA, 74 nt
Filed under: Echinoparyphium aconiatum
Lineage: Eukaryota; Metazoa; Platyhelminthes; Trematoda; Plagiorchiida; Echinostomatidae
Description: tRNA-Asn
Source: RNAcentral
GUGCGUGUAGAUUAUGUUCAAUAUUAUAGAUCGUAAGGCUGUUAACUUUAAGGAGGUGUAUAUUCCCACGGACG